RNAcentral lists this long non-coding RNA (202 nucleotides) under Carica papaya (papaya). RNAcentral describes it as "long non-coding RNA (CPAP_LNC015284)". Lineage: Eukaryota; Viridiplantae; Streptophyta; Magnoliopsida; Brassicales; Caricaceae. The record is from RNAcentral.
GUGACUGGUUCUUCUUCUCUGGCGAGGGUACUGGCGGUUAGGGUUCGGGGUCGGAUGUGGGUGAGAUUAUUUAUAACCUUCCCCUUUUAAUCUCAGCCGUACAUCGCGAUUUAAUCUGGGUCAUCUGAUCGCGAUUAAAAUAGGAAUAAAUUUGGGCUGUCCAUCGCGAUGCGAUCUGGGCCGUCCGUGCGUGAUUCAAUCU